UACGAAGGGGGCUAGCGUUGCUCGGAAUCACUGGGCGUAAAGGGUGCGUAGGCGGGUCUUUAAGUCAGGGGUGAAAUCCUGGAGCUCAACUCCAGAACUGCCUUUGAUACUGAAGAUCUUGAGUUCGGGAGAGGUGAGUGGAACUGCGAGUGUAGAGGUGAAAUUCGUAGAUAUUCGCAAGAACACCAGUGGCGAAGGCGGCUCACUGGCCCGAUACUGGCGCUGAGGCACGAAAGCGUGGGGAGCAAACAGG
RNAcentral lists this ribosomal RNA (253 nucleotides) under uncultured bacterium. RNAcentral describes it as "partial 16S ribosomal RNA". It matches the Rfam family "Bacterial small subunit ribosomal RNA", at positions 524 to 776 of the family's 1533-position model. The record is from RNAcentral.